GACGAACGCUGGCGGCGUGCCUAACACAUGCAAGUCGAGCGAGAAAGUCCCUUCGGGGGCGAGUACAGCGGCGAACGGGUGAGUAACACGUGGGCAACCUGCCCCAAGGAGCGGGACAACCUCGGGAAACCGGGGCUAAUACCGCAUGACCCGCCACGGCUCAAGCCGUGUCGGCAAAAGGUCGCUUCGGCCUCCGCCUUGGGAUGGGCCCGCGGCGCAUUAGCUUGUUGGUGAGGGUAACGGCCCACCAAGGCGACGAUGCGUAGCUGGUCUGAGAGGACGAUCAGCCACACUGGGACUGAGACACGGCCCAGACUCCUACGGGAGGCAGCAGUGGGGAAUCUUGCGCAAUGGGCGAAAGCCUGACGCAGCAACGCCGCGUGAGGGACGACGGCCCUCGGGUUGUAAACCUCUUUCAGCUCCGACGAAGCGUAAGUGACGGUAGGAGCAGAAGAAGCACCGGCCAACUACGUGCCAGCCGCCGCGGU
Molecule: ribosomal RNA, 488 nt
Filed under: uncultured bacterium
Lineage: Bacteria
Description: partial 16S ribosomal RNA
Rfam family: Bacterial small subunit ribosomal RNA
Source: RNAcentral